This 388-nucleotide ribosomal RNA is filed under the name uncultured bacterium. RNAcentral describes it as "partial 16S ribosomal RNA". It matches the Rfam family "Bacterial small subunit ribosomal RNA", at positions 355 to 735 of the family's 1533-position model. The record is from RNAcentral.
UGGGGAAUUUUGGACAAUGGGCGAAAGCCUGAUCCAGCAAUGCCGCGUGUGUGAAGAAGGCCUUCGGGUUGUAAAGCACUUUUGUCCGGAAAGAAAUCCUUGGCUCUAAUACAGUCGGGGGAUGACGGUACCGGAAGAAUAAGCACCGGCUAACUACGUGCCAGCAGCCGCGGUAAUACGUAGGGUGCAAGCGUUAAUCGGAAUUACUGGGCGUAAAGCGUGCGCAGGCGGUUUGCUAAGACCGAUGUGAAAUCCCCGGGCUCAACCUGGGAACUGCAUUGGUGACUGGCUGGCUAGAGUAUGGCAGAGGGGGGUAGAAUUCCACGUGUAGCAGUGAAAUGCGUAGAGAUGUGGAGGAAUACCGAUGGCGAAGGCAGCCCCCUGGGCC